This 516-nucleotide ribosomal RNA is filed under the name uncultured bacterium. RNAcentral's name for it is "bacterial SSU rRNA". It matches the Rfam family "Bacterial small subunit ribosomal RNA", at positions 9 to 526 of the family's 1533-position model. The record is from RNAcentral.
GAGUUUGAUCCUGGCUCAGGACGAACGCUGGCGGCGUGCUUAACACAUGCAAGUCGAACGAAGCUUGAUUACGGAUUCUUCGGAAGAAGUAUGAUAUGACUGAGUGGCGGACGGGUGAGUAACGCGUGGGUAACCUGCCUCAUACAGGGGGAUAACAGUUAGAAAUGACUGCUAAUACCGCAUAAGACCACAGCACCGCAUGGUGCAGGGGUAAAAACUCCGGUGGUAUGAGAUGGACCCGCGUCUGAUUAGUUAGUUGGUGGGGUAACGGCCUACCAAGGCGACGAUCAGUAGCCGACCUGAGAGGGUGACCGGCCACAUUGGGACUGAGACACGGCCCAAACUCCUACGGGAGGCAGCAGUGGGGAAUAUUGCACAAUGGGGGAAACCCUGAUGCAGCGACGCCGCGUGAGCGAAGAAGUAUUUCGGUAUGUAAAGCUCUAUCAGCAGGGAAGAAAAUGACGGUACCUGACUAAGAAGCCCCGGCUAACUACGUGCCAGCCGCCGCGGUAAUAC